UACCAGCUCCUCGAGUGGUCGGGACGAUUAUUGGGCCUAAAGCACCCGUAGCCGGUUCCGUAAGUCCUCUGUUAAAUCCAGCCGCUCAACGGCUGGCACGCAGGGGAUACUGCUGGACUAGGAGGCGGGAGAGGCGGACGGUACUCCGCGUGUAGGGGUAAAAUCCUUUGAUCCGCGGAAGACCACCAGAUAGCUAGCGGGCAAACCACUAGCUUGGUGAAUGGCGAAGGCGGUCCGCCAGAACGCGCUCGACGGUGAGGGGUGAAAGCUGGGGGAGCGAACCGG
RNAcentral lists this ribosomal RNA (285 nucleotides) under uncultured bacterium. RNAcentral's name for it is "partial 16S ribosomal RNA". It matches the Rfam family "Archaeal small subunit ribosomal RNA", at positions 474 to 727 of the family's 1478-position model. The record is from RNAcentral.